GACGAACGCUGGCGGCGUGCUUAACACAUGCAAGUCGAACGGAAAGGCCCUGCUUUUGUGGGGUGCUCGAGUGGCGAACGGGUGAGUAACACGUGAGUAACCUGCCCUUGACUUUGGGAUAACUUCAGGAAACUGGGGCUAAUACCGGAUAGGAGAUCCUGCUGCUUGGUGGGGGUUGGAAAGUUUCGGCGGUUGGGGAUGGACUCGCGGCUUAUCAGCUUGUUGGUAGGGUAGUGGCUUACCAAGGCUUUGACGGGUAGCCGACAUGCGCGGGUUGACGGGCACAGUGGGACUGAGGUAGGGACCAGACUCCUACGGGCGGCAGCAGGGGAGAAUAUUGCAGAAUGGACGGAAGACUGAGACAGAAACGCCGCGUGCGGGAAACCGGCCUUCGGGUUAUAAACAGAUGUCGCCUGUGACGAAGCGUGAGUGACGGUAAUAAAUAAAGAAGCACCGGCUAACUACGUG
Molecule: ribosomal RNA, 468 nt
Filed under: uncultured bacterium
Lineage: Bacteria
Description: partial 16S ribosomal RNA
Rfam family: Bacterial small subunit ribosomal RNA
Source: RNAcentral